AGAUCUAGAGCCUCCGCGGAGCCCGGAACCCCACGGAUCUGGCCGAGACCCGACGAUCGGAGAGGCACGGUGGUUGAAAGGAGGUCAGUGAAGGGGGGUUGAAGAUGCCGGUAGCUCAGCACAGUGGCACAACUGAGCAUUCCUUUCCUCAAUCUCCCGAUUCAUGUCAUCCCACUUCUGAUCUAGUUCCUCGAGCUUGGCCAGUAUCACAGCACACAUCUCCUCCGUCAUGUUCACUCGUGUUCCGAUGCGGUGGUAGUGGUGGUUUUUUGAUCGAAAUAGUUGUGAACCAAAUGUCACACCCUAGAUGCAACUCACAGAACAAAUUAUCCCCCAACGAUGAACUACGGAAUAUAUAUAUGAAGUAUACUAGAAUUUGGAUACACAUGGAUGAGGAACUCGCUAGUGUUCUCGAGCCGAAGCUUGCCACCGCAGAGCCAAUGAGUCCCAAAUCCAGUUCUUCUUUCCCUCACGACGACUUUUUAAUCCUCUUACAUGCUGCGCCAGCUAUGCUGCAGCGAUGCCCGUUCAUGGGCCUAUCUUAACUACCUUAGCCAUUCGGGCCCAACAAGGAUAAUGUUGGGCUUCCGUACCUGAUGGCCCACAACUUCGGCUUUACUGCACUUUAGAUAAAUAUCAUGUACGGUUCACUAGAGAAGCCUCCACCAGUGAUAGUUGCUAGUUAGUACAGGUCUUAUCUACAACCUUGCAUUAGCUAUCUCACUCUAGUUUGGCUAGCUGUCUGCUUACUCGAAGCUUGAGGCAUGUUUCUUUAAUAUAGUUUUCUUUUCUUCUUGGAUGUUUAUAGCACAUACGUGAUCUUUUGAAGUACUGCUAUAGAGAGGAAGACAAGUUCUUCUCAUUUAACAUCUUUUUUUUUUCAAUUUAUUUUUGUUAAACUUUUAGAUCAAUCGUUUGAAUUCUCCUCAAUAUUUGCUUGCUUCAUGUUCUCUUUGUUUUUGUGCAACAGUAUGAUCUUGGAAUAGGAAUGCUGCAAGACAAUUCAAAUAGAAGGUUAGUUUCAUCAUAUUAUAUGGUUAAAAUUACUUUAAAAUUAUAUGGUUAAAAUUACUUUGUAAUGGUUGACUGUCACUGUUGUUUGCAUUGGCAGAUCAUGGAUGGAAUUCCUGCAAGAGCCAAGCACAAACUGUUGUCAGCGCUUCUCUGUUGAUGUUUCGUUUCUCGUUACCACCUUUCUUGCAGACCGGUUAGGGUUAGGUUACACCAUCUGCUUCAGGUGAUUUCGGGAAUGUGGAAUGUUUCCUCUUCAUUUGAGAAGAAAGAGAGAGUGUUUUGUUCGAAUAUUACAGGUGCGUAUGUUUAUGCAUGGCUUUUCAGGGCUCAAAUCAAGGGGAAAAAAUAGACUAAUGGGCUGGUAAAUUUAUGUUCUGGUAAAAAUAGACUAAUGGCUUUAUUUAGUUCCAAGAAUCCUGGUGAACUCCGGAACUUAAAAUGAAAUCCUAAAAUUGUUUCUCUAACCUCCUAUCUCAAUAUGGGCUGUUCUUUUUUUUUUUCUUUCUGGUCAACUAUUUCCCCCAACUUACGGACCCAUCUCGGCCUGCAGGCCUGCCGAGGCCUCUUCUCUCCUUUCGUCGUUCGGUCCCUCUAAUUUCGCUCUUGUGCUUGCGCACCAGGCGCCAUCUCUCACCGCGCCAGGAGCUUUGCAGCGCCAGACGGCCCCGCUCCACACCACAAUAUUCUUCCUUGGAACCUGCGGGCUCCGCUGAGCCGCUGCGUGAUCUUCUAUUCGCGACUCUGUGUACCUCGCCGUGUUACAAUUGCCUUCACUUUACUUCAUCAUUGCUCUCUAACCUAGGUACUCGGUUAUGAACAGCGCGCCGGCUAAGCGAGUACCCGGUGAAGGCGAGCGCAACGAGCCCUAGCACAUGGCAUCCAUCGAAAACUACAUAAUUUUCAGAGUAUGGAAUUUUCAGUCCGCGGUGUGGCCAACAUUAUCUUUAUAUGAUUAUAUUUGCAAACAGAGUUUUUAAGUAACAACGCAAAUAAAACACUCUCGUGUCAUUGCUCUAAAGGGGGAGAAAGGAAUAACAGAAACAACACCGUGCCAUUCCCCAGAAACAAAGAACAACGGUAAAAGUGGUUCUAGAUGAAGCUUAAAUUGACCAUCGAUGGCGAUUGUAUCGACACGGCAAACAUCCAGACAGCUAGCAUUGACUGACUUGGCCUAUUGAGUACUCCGCGGAACUCGGUACGUCUUAUGACAAGUCUCGUUUGACUCGAAUUAUUGACCUUCACUGUCCUUCGUCAUUGCUCUCUAACCUAGGUACUCGGUUAUGAACAACGUGCCGGCUAAGUGAGUACUCGGUGAAGGCGAGCCCAACUUGCCCCAGCACAUCGCAUCCAUCGAAAAUACAGAAUUUCCAAAGUAUGGAAUUUUCAGUGUGCGUUGUGGCCAACACUAUCUUUAUAUGUUUUAUUUGCAAACCGAGUUUUUAAGUAACAACGCAAAUAAAACACUCUCGUAUCAUUGCUCUAAAGGGGGAGUAAGGAAUAACAGAAAUAACGUCGUGCCAUUCCCCGGAAACAAAGAACAACCGUAAAAAUUGGUUCUAGAUGAAGCUAAAUUGAUCAUCGAUGGCGAUUGUAUCGACACGGCAAACAUCCAGACAGCUAGCAUUGACUGACUUGGCUGAUACAUCCACUUCACUGUUGAGUACUCCAGGGAACUCGACAGGUCUUAUGACAAGUCUCGGUUGACUCGAAUUGUUGACCUUAGGACAGUGACCUUGAUUUCCUCAUCCCCUUUCCUAUUGUCUUGCGGUCCUGAUGCCCAUUACCCAGUGCCUACCAGUGUGUGCUUCUCCCUCCGAUUGUACAUACGUGCGGGUCCCACAUGUCAGCCCCUUCCAUCCUCUUUACUUUAUAAUCUCCAAAGCAUGGGCCGCCCUUCUUUGUUACCUGUAUGGCUGUAUCACCUCCCCUGCCGAUGAGUGCCCAUGCAUGCUGAUACUUUGGUACCAUCUGCUCCAACCAAGCACCACCUCUCAUGCAAGUCAACAUAGAUGGUAUUUGGUGUCAAUUCACUGGUUAUAUUUUUAAAUGAAUUUAAUAUAAAUUUUGAUUAUCUAUUGCUUCUAAAUUCCUGUCGAAAUUAAUUUGAUAAUUUUUUAACCUAUAAUAUCCUAUACUUCAUUUUAUGAGGAAACUAUCAGAAAAUGAAUUGUAAUUUUUAUGACUCAUAUCUAUUUCCUCUCUUUAUUAGAUAUUUUGCUUUCCAAUUGUAUGUAAUCAAACUUUUAUUUAUUUUUAUCAUUCGGAGUUUUAGUUUUUUAUUACUUCCAUGUCAAGAUGAUAUUCUGGACAAGAUUCCAAUCAACCUUUUGAAAAUCUAACCACUAUUGACAGCUUUUAGAAUAUUCAGUUUGAAAAUUUAGAAUACUCAUUGAAAGACAUAAUAUAAUAUUUUGUAUGUUUAUAUAAUAUCUUCUUACUGAAAAUAGUGGCCACACAGCUAUGUUAUCCAAAACACCACCUUUUCUUUAAGAACGGGGGAACGAUUGUUUUUUUUCUAUUUUAUUAAUAUGAUAUUUUAUAGUCAAUCCGGAGACUUGUUUUCUCUUAGCUUUGCCUUAUUAAAAUAACAAUUGAAGAUUCCGUAAUGUGUGGUUCAGAUAUUUACUUCCAUGCGAGUUUAUAUUUUGGCUCCAGUUCGCUGGUCUUCCUCUCGAGUCAGCGACCGGAACGAGAGAACAGAAUAUCUACACACGAUUGAUUGGAAUUUGGAAACUGCAAACCAGUAGCGCAAUGGCUCCUGCCAUGGAUCGCCUCCACAACCUUCUGGUCCUGCUCUUGUUCAUAGGUUGCCUCUUCAUAGAUGCUGCCGCCAAGCUUAACACCACAGCGCCUUGCCUCCCGGAUCAAGCUUCUUCCCUCCUCCGGCUAAAAGCUUCCUUCAUCGGUGACAACCUACCAUCAUGGCAAGCUGCAACAGAUUGUUGCCACUGGGAGGGCGUCACCUGCGACAUGGCCUUUGGAAGAGUCAUUUCUCUUGACCUCAGUGAGUUCCACCACCUAAUGAGCAGUCGUCUUGAUCCUGCGCUCUUCAACCUCACCUCUCUCAGGAACCUCAGCCUUGCAUCUGUUGACUUCAGAGGAGUCUCGCUCCCGGCUUUUGGGUUUGAGCGGCUCACGGAUAUCAUUUACCUCAACCUCUCUGAUACCGGUUUUAUGGGUAAGAUCCCAAUUGGAAUUGCGUGCCUCAAGAACCUUGUGACCAUUGACUUGUCUUAUAAUUACGAAUUGUAUUUUGAACGGCCAAGUUUCCAAACCAUCAUGGCAAAUAUGAGCAAUCUGAGGGAGCUUUAUCUUGAUGAAGUGGGUUUACAGAACAUCGGAUCGGAUUGGUCCACUGUUUUAGCAGACUCCGUUCCCCAGCUACAGAUUCUUAGCUUGCCCUGGUGUGGUUUAUCAGGUUCUAUCCACCCUUCAUUCUCAAGGCUUCGCUCACUUACGGUGAUCAACCUCAGAUACAAUGAUGGACUCACCGGCAAAGUCCCGGAGUACUUUUCUGAACUAUCUUCCUUGACCAUUUUAGACAUAUCAGGAAGUCAAUUUGAAGGGCAAUUUCCAACAAAAAUAUUCCAGCUAAAAAGUUUGAGGACGCUUGAUUUGUCCUGGAACCCCAUGCUUUCUGUGAGAUUAACAUAUUUCCCAGCUGGAAACAAUUUGGAAGUACUAAAUCUAGAAGGGACCAAUUUGUCUUAUGACACGCCAUUGGGGCAAUCUCGAGUCUUUAAAGACAUUGGGGCUUAGCACGAUGGGAAUUGAUAAUGAACUCUUCUCUUUGAUAUCUGAGCUUCCAGCAUUGGAUUACCUGCGACUCACUGGAUCAGAUUUGGAGAACCCGGUAUUAUCUUGGGUCAGCAAUCUUACCCAAUUGACAAACCUGGUGCUUGAAGGUUAUGACUUCUCAAACUCGGUUCCCACUUGGAUCGGCAAAUUGACAAGGCUGGAAAUUUUGACAAUAUGGGAUUGCAGUUUCUCCGUGCCAAUACUGUACCAGAUUAGAAAUCUUACUAAAUUGGCAGCGCUGGAGUUCACUGGUUGCGACUUAUCUGAGCAAACAAUGCCAUCAUGGAUAGGCAAUCUUACAAAGUUGACUUCUUUGACCAUUGAAGAUUGCAGUUUAUCUGGGCCAAUACCCUCUACAAUUGGAAACCUGAUCCAACUUGAAGAGUUGGUGUUCUGGGAUACUAACAUCAGCGGUGAGACUAUGUCCCUGUUACUUUCUUUCUAGAUACCUCCUUUUAUUUUGCAACUGUAGACAGAUCAUACACCUACUAUAUGACACGCCAUGCAUACACCGUUAAAAAAAUAAUAAUGAAUUUAAGUGAAGAAGAAAAUUUAACACUACCAAAUCGACAGAGUGAUCUUCAGAAAACAAGAAAAAGGCUUUGGCUAGUAAUUUUCGGCAAUGUUGAGAAAAGAAAAACACUGAUAUUUUCACUUUGAGUCUAUGACCAAUUUCCAUAGUUUAGUAGUUUGGAAGGUUAGAUGCCUUUAACACUAGUACACACGAGUCACGACUCAGGUCCUCUUUUCCUUCUUUUUUCUGUAAAUAUAGUAUUGGUCCAUUUACAAAUAUACCAAGGAAUAUUAAUUUUUUUGGACAGGCCUUUUUUUAUUAUUUUGACCAGAUUUACAUGUAAAUGUUCUCUAACGAUAAAUCAACUUUAGAAUAUAUCAUUUGUAGAUCGAAACACUGGAUCUGUUAAAAUAUAUAUUGAAUAUGUUGUGUUAAAAUUGUUCGGCUUUCCCUGGUCUAAGGCCUCUUUGAAACAAAGGAACAACAAAAGGAAGGACUAGGUUUUUUGAGCAUGGUCUCUCUCCCUCUCUCUCUCUCAAACCUGAGCGUGGUCUGGAUUUUCUACUUGUUAUGAUUUGUGAAGGAAGAGGACCCUUUCUUGUGGAAUUGGAAUUGGAGGGUGCAUUCCAAAAUUCCAAAAUUCAAACGGUUCUUUCCUUUCCUCCAGAACGCAGUUACUUUUGUGUCCUUACCCCCUCAGUGUCGUGGCUUCUUUAGGCCAGUCUCAAUGCACAAUUUCAUUGCAAUGUUACAAAAAUUGCAAAUUUGGUAACUGUGCAGGUAGGGUUUCAUGAGGAUGAAACUCCUCUCUCAUUUCAUGAAACUCCAUCCUCUCUCUCCUCAUAAAGACCUUGACAAAUCAGCAAAAUUGCUGAUGUGGUAUAGAAAUUAAUGCUGACGAAACUUUUUAUAACACUUCCACUAAGACUGGCCUUAGAUUGCAGCAACAUUCGGAUAUGUCUAGCUCCAAUGUAAUGAGAUGCUAAUUUGUUUCAAUUUCAUACUAGCGCUUUUAGUGUGAAGAAGCAUUAAUAAAGUCUACAACAUUCUAACUGUUGGUAUUCUACCCUAACAUGCAGGAAAAAUUCCGAAGUCUUUGUUCGCUCUUCCAGUCCUGCAGCAGCUUCAUCUAGUUAGGAAUCAGCUUGUUGGCCCACUAGAAGACAUUCCUGCUCUUUUAUCGUCACCAAUGCGGGAGAUCGAUUUAGGAGGUAAUCAAUUGACAGGCCCAAUACCAAAAUCACUUUUUCAGCUCACGAAUCUUGAGCGUCUUCUUCUAGCUGAGAAUCAGCUUGUUGGUUCACUAGAAGACAUUCCUGCUCCUUUAUCAUCACCAUUGCGGGAGAUCGAUUUACAAGGUAAUCAAUUGACAGGUCCAAUACCAAAAUCACUUUUUCAGCUCACGAAUCUUGAGUAUCUCAAUCUUGGCUCGAAUAAAUUGACAGGCACAAUAGAACUUGGCUCUAUACGGAGGUUGAAAAAUCUCAUUAUUCUCGACCUGGGUAACAAUAUGAUAUCACUCGUAGAAAAAGAAGGUGAUACGAUAUUCUCUUAUUCCCUUAAAAUCCAGACCUUAUACCUUGCAUCUUGCAACCUUACAAAAUUUCCGGAACCAUUAAAAUAUCUUGACACUAUUCAAUAUCUCGACCUUUCCAAUAACCAAAUCGAAGGGGCCAUACCAAGUUGGGUGUGGGAGAAACCACUGCUUCAGUUGAACCUCUCACACAACAUGUUUACUACUUUAGAGAAGUCUCCUACUGUUCAGAUGACACAUUUAAAUUCUCUUGAUCUCAGUUCUAAUAGAAUUCAAGGAAGCAUACCAAUACCAUCAACUCCAUCCGACCUGAUUCUGUUGGAUUACUCAAAUAAUAACUUCUCUACCAUUGAACCGAACUUUGGCAGGUAUCUUACAAAUGCCCACUACAUCAAUUUGUCAAAAAAUAAAUUAAGUGGCCAUGUACCACUUUCAUUUUGUAGUUUAAGCCAACUUGAGCACAUGGACUUAUCUUACAAUAACUUUAGUGGACCAAUUCCAUCAUGUCUUAUGGAAAGAGUUGACCCGAGCAUACUGAAGUUAAGAGGAAACAAAUUACAUGGCGUGCUACCUGAAAAUAUUAGAGAAGGAUGUAAGCUUCAGACAAUUGAUUUCAAUGAAAAUCAAAUUGAAGGUGCGCUACCUAGAUCACUAGCAAAAUGCCAAGACUUAGAGGUUCUUGAUGUUGGCAGUAAUCAUAUUGUAGAUUCAUUUCCAUCAUGGAUGGGUACUCUUCCAAAUCUUCGAAUUCUUGUGUUGAGAUCUAACAAACUCUAUGGCACUAUAAGGGAUCUUCGCAGGGGCUACCAACACUUCACAAGUUUGCAAAUAGUUGAUUUGGCCUCCAACCAUUUCUCUGGUGACUUACAUUCCGAAUGGUUUGAGAAUUUUAUUUCAAUGAUGAAUAACAGCAAUGAUGAGGGGCAGAUAUUAGAGCACCAUCCAACUGGACCAAUGACACGAUUGUAUCAAGAUACUGUCACUAUCACCUUCAAAGAUGCUGCUUUAAGCAUCACCAAAAUCCUUCGUGCUUUCAAAGUAAUUGAUUUGUCAAAUAACUCAUUUGAGGGUUCCAUUCCAAGUUCAAUUGGAAGACUUGCUUCACUUCACGGACUUAACAUGUCGCACAAUAACUUCACGGGAGAAAUUCCAUCACAACUUGGGAAGUUAACAAGGUUGGAAUCAAUGGAUCUCUCUUGCAACCAUCUCUCGGGAGAAAUUCCACAGGAGUUUACCUCUCUAACUUCUCUUUCCGUGUUGAACCUUUCGUACAACAACUUGACAGGAAGAAUACCGCAGGGAAACCAAAUCUUGUCAUUUCCCAGCAGUUCGUUUGAAGGCAAUGCUGGCCUAUGUGGAAUUCAGCUUUCCAAGGAAUGUGACCCUCGUCCAGAUUCAACCACCCCAAGCACAUUGGCUCCAGAACACAAUGCUUUGUGGCAGGAUAGACUUGAUGCCAUCAUGUUGUUCCUCUGUGCUGGCUUGGGCUUUGGCGUGGGUUUUGCAUUGGCAAUCAUAUGCGGUCCCUUUUACCACAUAGAAGAAUGGCUUUGCAAGCAUUUGUAUUAGUAAUAUAAGUUUUCAACAAGAAUAAUUAUGUAUGUUUGUGCUGUACUCGUUAUUAGAUGAGACAUCUUAAAUCCACUCAGUUGUAAUUACGUUGUAACUAGUCCAUCAACCCGUACUUCCGCAUGGGCAAAUAUUUUUAAAAGCUGUUGUAUUUGAAAAUUAUUUAGAAAUUAAACUCCUAGCUAAUAAUCAAAAUUGUUUACUUAUUACUCUCACAUUUUUUCAAUACUUCAACAUAGUACUCAUAUAGAUGUGUACUCAUCUUUGUCUAGUUGUGAUUGAUUUUUAAUUAGUAAUUACUCUAUACACUUUUUCAUCCACAUUCACACCUUUCCAUUUUUUAUUGCACCUCCGUACAUUGUGUUUAGCAUCAAAAUUAAUAUUUUUCAUCACUUUAUCACAUACAUGUAUAAAUGGUCUACAUGGUAACACUCAUCAUGUCUAUAUACCUUAACUUAGUAUUUCUAUAUUAACAAUGACAUAAACUAGUAAUUUAGAAUCAUAUAUUAGUUUGUUUUUAGACAUUUCUAUAUGAUGCAUAUGCAUGAAGAUAAUUAGAUUAAGAAUUAGGUGUUUACUUUAGAUUAUUUUUAAAAAUGACAUACAUGAGUAACUUAGAUACAAAUUUAGAAUGGCAUUUUAAGUUAUGCUUUAUAAUUGUAGGCAUGGGUAAAUUGGAUGAAGAUUAUGGGGUUACUUUACAUUAUUUUUUUAUAAUGGUAGGGCUUGGUAAUUUAGAUAUAGGUUUGGGGUUUACAAUGACAGUGGUGGGUAACUUUUUAGAAAAUAUAAUAGACCAAUGACUAUGAUUAAUAUAGUUUGCAUGAUUGAUAUUUGAUAUUUAUGAUUUUUGUGAGAAGUAAUUGUGUUUUUUUAGCAUAUCUCUUAAGAACCAAUGCAGAGUCUCCAAUGGAAAAAAAUGAGGCCACAUUGCUAUAAAACUAUUACCUUGAGCUCCUUCUCAUUUGUUAAAUAUUCAAAAACAUACUUAUAUAGAUAUAUAAUUAUUAUCUUCACCCGAUUGCGAUAGAUUUUAGUUUGUAAUUUCUCUUUAACAUUUUCAUCCAUAUUUAUAAUCUUUAAUUUUUCACUUUGCAUUGCAAAUAUGCGCUUGAAUUUGUUUAAUGGAACCUAAGUUUGAGCUAACAUUUUAACAUAAAAAUUUAUAUUCCCAUCACUUUAAUUCUCUAUAUCUUUAUAAAUGGUGAAAGACAUCUUGCCUAUAUACCUUAAUUAUUAUAUGAUAUACCUAUAGUGUAAGAAAUAGAUGAUUUAGAAUCAUAUAUUGGUGUAUAUUUUGAAUUAAGGUUAUUUGGAUUCAAAUGUAGGGUUACCUCAUGUUAUUUUUAAUAAUAGCAUAUAUGGGUAAUAUAGAUGCAAAUUUAAAGGGUCAUGUUAAGUUAUUUUUUAAGUAUUAGUGGUGGGCAAUUAGUUGGUAAUUUAGGAGGUUAUUUUAAAUAUUAUUUAUAAUGGUACAUGUGGGUAAUUUUGAUAAAUAUUAGGGGUUAGUUUAGUUUAGUUUAUAUAAUAGCAUAUGGGUAAUUUAGAUGUAGAUUUAGGGGUUACUUUAGGCUAUUUUCAUAAUGGCAUAGGUGGAUAAUUUUUUUUAGAAAAACAUAAUAGAUCUAAUGGCUAUGAUGAGUUGAGUCUACAGAUUGAUGGCCAGAUGUUUUGCUUUUUUAUGAGAAUUUCUACGAUAAGAAAUGCAGCGGUGGUCCUCUCUAUAAAAUUUGCAUGGGUCUUAAAGCAGACAAACUUAUUAAUUAAAUAUUUUUUAGUUAUCUUUAUUCUGGGUCUCUUCUAGGCCAGCCCAGUCCAUGUCCAGAUGAGUCUGUUUCCUCCCGAUCCGUUUUAGUCCCUCUGAACGGCGGCUCAUGUUCCUCGCGAAAAGAACGGAGCAACGAUGGCUUGCGGCGGCGCUCCAUGGCAGUGGCACAUCAUAAAGGCGGUGGAAGCAUCCAACAUGUGGUUGGACUGAAACAUUUUCAUGAUUAUUCCUUCUGUGAAGUUAGUCACCUUGCAAUGUGCAAGCUAGAAACAAUAUCAUUGCAAGCAUAAUAAGGUACAACAUCUGCAAUGUUUCUCAUGAAUGUGUGGAAUGGCCUCCGGACACGACGUCCGCAAAACGGUCAGGAAUAAUGAACCAAGUAGCAAUUAAUGUGCAGGCGCCGUAUGUAGAGCAGGUUGGGAUUUGGGAAGUCCGGUGUCACUGCAGUCCACCUCGUCCGGUAGCACGAUUACACCUGCCUGACGAGGAGAUGGUACCGCUACAUGUGCUAAGGACGUCGAGUUGUCGAGGUCCCAGCUAGACGCGCGACUCUCUCUUGGUGCAGCCGUUUCCCUCUCCGGGCAGUGGCGAUCUCACUCACCGGCGCAGCUCCGUGCAGCCGCUACAUGUGCACCUCCAUUAUUGAUUAUGUCGGCCACUGAUAUUCUCUUUAUCCAAUCCAAUCAAAUCCAAUCGUAUUGGCUGGGUAGGAGUGGGCGAGGCGAGGCAAGGCCCAAGAUUAUCCCACUGCUAAAAAAAUUAAGAAAUAAACUAAUCUUGUUGCUUUGAAACGCGUGCUAAUUUUUAGAAAGGGACCACCAGAGCAUUUCUCUUCUAUGAUUUCUCUCUUUUUCUAAGUGUCCACUUAGGAUUCUAGGUAGUUUCACCUGAAGGCUUCAGAAGGAGUCUCUAAUUAGUAAUAUUUACUGAAUUUCAUAAGGCCCCGUUUGGAUCAUUGGAAUUGAAUUCCAUCAUAAUAAUCAUAAUUUAGACACAAAUUAAUUAAGCUAAUAUAAUUGUAUGUGAAAUAUAGUUGUAUAUUAUAGUUGGUGAUAUGGGAGAGAUACUUAUGUGCUGCACUUCUACCAUAGAGAAGCGAGUCUAAGAGCGUGCUAUAAGAAUUGAAUUCCAUUCUAAUAACCAUAAUCUAUAGAAUCAAUUUCCAUCUCCCACCCCAUGAAUUUAAGAUAAGCUUAUAUAUAAACUUUGGAAAGUUGUGGAAUGCCACAUUCCAACAUAAAUUAGCCUACUCCAUUAAAUAGAUUCCAAUUCCUUCAUACCAAACGGGGCCUAAGUGAUUUUCAAAGAGAGUUUUUUUUUGACAGCACUCCAAGUCUCCAACUUGAUAUCAACUGAAACUGAAAGCCGGCCAAGGUGCUGGUUGUAUCUGAGUACCACUAUCCAGAAUCUCCACUUGUAUUGGCGGUGGCCAUGGAUGCUUCAGAAGCUCACCAUCUCUACUUGGCUGAAUGGCGUCCACAAUAUUGGCCUUAGAUCAUCUGCACUGUGCAAUGCAUGUUACCGGCAUUACCCUGAACACCUUGAGGGCAUUGUAGACACCAGUGCCAAUACACAGCAGAAACAUGUCAUCUGUUAGAGCCGGGCUCUCGCUGGUGAUUUGGAAGUCGCAGACGUUGUUGCUGUUGAUUGUGGUGAACAAAGUUAGGGUGGUGGCUAGAGCACUCGCGGUCGGUGGAACACAAGCAUUGUGGAUAUGACUGGGCAUUGAACAUCUGGUGGGCGUCACGGAUUAGCACUCCGUAGUGGUGAUAGAGAUGGCUAGGGUGGCAUCCUGGUCAGAGUAGAGGUGGAUGUAGAGGGAAGUGCCGAGGAUGCGGUCUUGGACACCAGAAUGCAGGUGUCAUGGUAAAGGGAAGUCUUUGGACACCUUGUGGGCGCCAUCUCUAGAACCUCGGUGGCCCUGACAGAACGAUGCGGAAAGCUGUUGGUUAUGCCGAGGUCAUGGCUGUAGGCACUUGAAAGCAGGUGGCCUGGUUAGGACCCGCCAUCGAACACCUGGUGGGCGCCACUGGUUGAAGCUCCGUGGCCGUGAUGAGAAUGACAACAGAGGCAUCCCGUGGUGGAAAGGAGGUCAGUGAAGGGGGGUUGAAGAUGCCGGUGGCUCAGCACGGUGGCACAACUGAGCAUUCCUUUCCUCGAUCUUCCGAUUCAUGUCAUCACACUUCUGAUCUAGUUCCUCGAGCUUGGCCAGUAUCACAGCACACAUCUCCUCCGUCAUGUUCACUCGUAUUCCGAUGCAGUGGUAGUGGUGGUUUUUGAUCGAAAUAGCUGUGAACCAAAUGUCACACCCUAGAUGCAACUCACAGAACAAAUUAUCUCCCAACAAUGAACUACGGAAUAUAUAUGGAGUAUACUAGAAUUUGGAUACACAUGGAUGAGGAACUCGCUAGUGUUCUCGAGUCGAAGCUUGCCGCCGCAGAGCCAAUGAGUCCCAAAUCCAGUUCUUCUUUCCCUCAUGACGACUAUUUUAUCCUCUUACAUGCUGCGCCAGCUAUGCUGCAGCGAUACCCGUUCAUGGGCCUAUCUUAACUACCUUAGCCAUCGGGCCCAACAAGAAUAACGUUGGGCUUCCGAACCUGAUGGCCCACAACUUCAGCUUUACUUCACUUAAGAUAGUUGCUAGUUAGUAC
RNAcentral lists this long non-coding RNA (12848 nucleotides) under Setaria italica (foxtail millet). RNAcentral describes it as "long non-coding RNA (SITA_LNC000917)". The record is from RNAcentral. Lineage: Eukaryota; Viridiplantae; Streptophyta; Magnoliopsida; Poales; Poaceae.